GAUGAACGCUGGCGGUAUGCUUAACACAUGCAAGUCGAACGGGACUAUUCGUAGUCCAGUGGCGGACGGGUGAGUAACGCGUGAGAAUCUGCCCUCAGGUUCGGGACAACCACUGGAAACGGUGGCUAAUACCGGAUAGGCCGAAAGGUGAAAGAGAAAUUGCCAGAGGAAGAGCUCGCGUCUGAUUAGCUAGUUGGUGGGGUAAGAGCCUACCAAGGCGACGAUCAGUAACUGGUCUGAGAGGAUGACCAGUCACACUGGGACUGAGACACGGCCC
RNAcentral lists this ribosomal RNA (277 nucleotides) under uncultured bacterium. RNAcentral describes it as "partial 16S ribosomal RNA". It matches the Rfam family "Bacterial small subunit ribosomal RNA", at positions 28 to 332 of the family's 1533-position model. The record is from RNAcentral.